GAUGAACGCUGGCGGCGUGCCUAAUACAUGCAAGUCGAGCGAACGGACGAGAAGCUUGCUUCUCUGAUGUUAGCGGCGGACGGGUGAGUAACACGUGGAUAACCUACCUAUAAGGCUGGGAUAACUUCGGGAAACCGGAGCUAAUACCGGAUAAUAUUUUGAACCGCAUGGUUCAAAAGUGGAAGACGGUCUUGCUGUCACUUAUAGAUGGAUCCGCGCUGCGUUAGCUAGUUGGUAAGGUAACGGCUUACCAAGGCAACGAUGCAUAGCCGACCUGAGAGGGUGAUCGGCCACACUGGAACUGAGACACGGUCCAGACUCCUACGGGAGGCAGCAGUAGGGAAUCUUCCGCAAUGGGCGAAAGCCUGACGGAGCAACGCCGCGUGAGUGAUGAAGGUCUUCGGAUCGUAAAACUCUGUUAUUAGGGAAGAACAUAUGUGUAAGUAACUGUGCACAUCUUGACGGUACCUAAUCAGAAAGCCACGGCUAACUACGUG
This 497-nucleotide ribosomal RNA is filed under the name uncultured bacterium. Its description in RNAcentral is "partial 16S ribosomal RNA". It matches the Rfam family "Bacterial small subunit ribosomal RNA", at positions 28 to 507 of the family's 1533-position model. The record is from RNAcentral.